CCUACGGGAGGCAGCAGUGGGGAAUAUUGCACAAUGGGGGAAACCCUGAUGCAGCGACGCCGCGUGAGCGAUGAAGGAUUUCGGUAUGUAAAGCUCUAUCAGCAGGGAAGAAAAUGACGGUACGUGACUAAGAAUCCACGUCUAACUACGUUCCAGCAGCCGCGGUACUAUGUAGGGGGCCAGCGUUAUCCGGAUUUACUGGGUGUAAAGGGAGCGUAGACGGGGUUGCAAGCCAGUUGUGAAAGCCCGGGGCUCAACCACGGGACUGCAUUUGAAACUGUAUAGCUGGAGUGUCGGAGAGGCAGGCGGAAUUCGUGGUGUAGCGGUGAAAUGCGUAGAUAUUAGGCGGAACACCAGUGGCGAAGGCGGCCUGCUGGACGAUGACUGACGUUGAGGCUCGAAAGCGUGGGGAGCAAACAGGAUUAGAUACCCUUGUAGUC
RNAcentral lists this ribosomal RNA (440 nucleotides) under uncultured bacterium. RNAcentral's name for it is "partial 16S ribosomal RNA". It matches the Rfam family "Bacterial small subunit ribosomal RNA", at positions 338 to 795 of the family's 1533-position model. The record is from RNAcentral.